Molecule: transfer RNA, 65 nt
Filed under: Ictidomys tridecemlineatus (thirteen-lined ground squirrel)
Lineage: Eukaryota; Metazoa; Chordata; Mammalia; Rodentia; Sciuridae
Description: Spermophilus tridecemlineatus (thirteen-lined ground squirrel) tRNA
Rfam family: tRNA
About the family: Transfer RNA (tRNA) molecules are approximately 80 nucleotides in length.
Source: Rfam by way of RNAcentral
GGUGUAGCUCAGUGGUAGAGCACGUGCUUAGCAUUCACAAGGCCUUGGGUUCGAUCCCCAAUGCC